CAAUAGCGUAUAUUUAAGUUGCUGCAGUUAAAAAGCUCGUAGUUGGAUUUCGGGUGGGAAUGGCCGGUCCGCCGUUUCGGUGUGCACUUGCUACGCCCACCUUGCUGUCGGGGACGUGCUCUUGAGUUCACGCUCGGGACACGGAGUCGGCGAGGUUACUUUGAGUAAAUUAGAGUGUUCAAAGCAGGCCUACGCUCUGAAUACAUUAGCAUGGAAUAACACGAUAGGACUCUGGCCUAUCUUGUUGGUCUGUAGGACCGGAGUAAUGAUUAAGAGGGACAGUCGGGGGCAUUCGUAUUUCAUUGUCAGAGGUGAAAUUCUUGGAUUUAUGAAAGACGAACUACUGCGAAAGCAUUUGCCAAGGAUGUUUUCAUUAA
This 377-nucleotide ribosomal RNA is filed under the name uncultured eukaryote. Its description in RNAcentral is "partial 18S ribosomal RNA". It matches the Rfam family "Eukaryotic small subunit ribosomal RNA", at positions 592 to 976 of the family's 1831-position model. The record is from RNAcentral.